This 460-nucleotide ribosomal RNA is filed under the name uncultured bacterium. Its description in RNAcentral is "partial 16S ribosomal RNA". It matches the Rfam family "Bacterial small subunit ribosomal RNA", at positions 338 to 795 of the family's 1533-position model. The record is from RNAcentral.
CCUACGGGAGGCAGCAGUGAGGAAUAUUGGUCAAUGGACGAGAGUCUGAACCAGCCAAGUCGCGUGAAGGAUUACUGCCCUAUGGGUUGUAAACUUCUUUUAUAUGGGAGUAAAACAGGGUAUGCAUAGCCUCUUAUAUGUACCAUAUGAAUAAGGAUCGGCUAACUCCGUGCCAGCAGCCGCGGUAAUACGGAGGAGCCGAGCGUUAUCCGGAUUUAUUGGGUUUAAAGGGAGCGUAGGUGGAUUGUUAAGUCAGUUGUGAAAGUUUGUGGCUCAACCGUAAAAGUGCAGUUGAAACUGGCAGUCUAGAGUACAGUAGAGGUGGGCGGAAUUCGUGGUGUAGCGGUGAAAUGCUUAGAUAUCACGAAGAACUCCGAUUGCGAAGGCAGCUCACUGGACUGCAACUGACACUGAUGCUCGAAAGUGUGGGUAUCAAACAGGAUUAGAUACCCUGGUAGUC